This 468-nucleotide ribosomal RNA is filed under the name uncultured bacterium. Its description in RNAcentral is "partial 16S ribosomal RNA". It matches the Rfam family "Bacterial small subunit ribosomal RNA", at positions 28 to 507 of the family's 1533-position model. The record is from RNAcentral.
GACGAACGCUGGCGGCGUGCUUAACACAUGCCAGUCGAACGGAAAGGCCCUGCUUUUGUGGGGUGCUCGAUUGGCGAACGGGUGAGUAACACGUGAGUAACCUGCCCUUGACUUUGGGAUAACUUCAGGAAACUGGGGCUAAUACCGUAUAGGAUCUCCUGCUGCAUGGUGGGGGUUGGAAAGUUUCGGCGGUUGGGGAUGGACUCGCGGCUUAUCGGCUUGUUGGUGGGGUAGUGGCUUACCAAGGCUUUGACGGGUAGCCGGCCUGAGAGGGUGACCGGCCACAUUGGGACUGAGAUACGGCCCAGACUCCUACGGGAGGCAGCAGUGGGGAAUAUUGCACAAUGGGCGGAAGCCUGAUGCAGCAACGCCGCGUGCGGGAUGACGGCCUUCGGGUUGUAAACCGCUUUCGCCUGUGACGAAGCGUGAGUGACGGUAAUGGGUAAAGAAGCACCGGCUAACUACGUG